CUGCUCUACCCAAAAUUACAACCAGCAUUACCGCAAAAAUGGAAGAGGAAAGUGGAAGGGGGAAAAAGUAAGGAACUUGUCUGUCGGCCCUGCAUUAAAGACCAUAAUUGACCAUCAGGCUCCAUGUUGUAGUUCAGGUAGUGACAUCAGGCUCCAUGUUGUAGUUCAGGUAGUGACAUCAGGCUCCAUGUUGUAGUUCAGGUAGUGACAUCAGGCUCCAUGUUGUAGUUCAGAUAGUGACAUCAGGCUCCAUGUUGUAGUUCAGGUAGUGACAUCAGGCUCCAUGUUGUAGUUCAGGUAGUGACAUCAGGCUCCAUGUUGUAGUUCAGAUAGUGACAUCAGGCUCCAU
This 349-nucleotide long non-coding RNA is filed under the name Salmo salar (Atlantic salmon). RNAcentral describes it as "lncRNA (ENSSSAG00000098404.1)". The record is from RNAcentral. Lineage: Eukaryota; Metazoa; Chordata; Actinopteri; Salmoniformes; Salmonidae.